UUGGAAACGACGCUCCCAUUUCAGACCCAGCAGCUCCUGAGGCCACGUAUCUGACACACCUACAUUGGCCACGUUAUCACUAAACUUGGUCUUAAGGCUCCUCGGCAUUGGCAGGAAAGAGAGAACAGAAGUAUGAUGCCAUUCUUUGGUCCUUGACAGGGCCAUCAUUUAGCCAGUUAUGGUCAGAAGACAAGCUGAGAGUGUUCUCUCAGCAGUGCAAAAUAUCAGUUGAGCCUCCCUGGAGCAGCUGGGUGAGACGCAUGGAUUGAAGAGAAGCCUGGGGUCUGGAGUGAGAUGGAAGAAACCCUGCAGGCAGCACCCAGCACAACGCGUGGUCUGCAGCGAGCUCCUCACGCCUUGGAGCUGACAGCAUCUGCUAUUUUUAUUCAGUCACUAAGAAACAAUAAAGGAGGGAACUAUUUAUGGGGAAAGUAAUUAACUCCAGAAGAAUCAGGAGGUAAGCAGUGCUGGGGGCUGUCUAAUCCCUAGGGCUUUACAUAAAGCAGCAGAAGACAUUUUAUUGAGAAACCGAGCUUCAGAUCCCCCCUUCCUCCCUCCACUGCAGCAGCCUCCUGCUCCUGCUUCUCUCCUGGAGUCAAUUAUAGGCACCACAGUGACAGACUCCUACCCUGUGUUAGGCUUGGACAACAUGUCUUUGUGCUGCUCCUUGCCCUGCUCUCAAAGCAUUCAGCAGAGCCUGGUGAAGGAGGAAUUUUGUUUAAGAGAUAAGCGAUGCAGUAUCUCAUUUCAGGAGUCCACAGAAUGACACGGCUAAUCAAUAAAUGUUUCAUUAGCUCACAAAGCGUGCUGACACAGCCAAGUUUUCAGCAAAGCUGGCAAUGCUCAGCUUCUGCUUAAAUAUCUGGCUAGUCCACGUACAGCUCCAAGUGUUGUACAAAAAGUCACAAAAUCCACAGCCAGAGGCACAAGACAGACAGACAGACAUAGAAGCCCAAACAGCACUCCAUCAAAACAAAAGCAGCUACAGAAGAUUAACAACAGGGAGCAGCUUCAAGCAACCUAGGAGAAUAAAUGCAGCUCAGUUCAUUUAUGGCGUUGCUUGUUUGUGUAAGCUGUUGCUGAUCUCACAUUUGCAAGAACAAGAUACUUUCUAGUACAAAGCCAUGGUCUGUGGGCUGCAUUGUAGACAUAGCUGGGGCGUGGAAAAUGCGAAAGGGACACAAAGAAACAAUGAAACUGAUUGGCACAAAGACUGCAACAGGACUCAACAGCACCACUGGCAUUUAGUUUGCUUUCAGCUGAAGCGGAGGGGGGAGCCUGCAACAUACAAAAGGCUUUUCAAAAGGUGUUUGUCCAAAGCAGCAAUGCCAAUAGUUAGCCAGACUGGGCUCCAAGUGAUUCCUAGGGGUUACUAAGAUAUACUUCACUGAUCUGCAGAAAGGAGGAGCUAAGUGUGCACUUAUUAAAGAGCCAGAGCCAAGACUAUGGCUCAAGUUGGACAGGAAAGUGCAAGGCAUCUUGGACAGUGAAAAUAGGCAGCAGCAAGCAGAGUUCAGAGCAGAUGAAAAAGUCAAAGGAUCAUAAUUAAGCAAAACAAAUAAACAAAAACAGGAGAGUAAGCAGGCGUCAGAAGAAACAGGCCACAAGCCAGCCUGGCUGAAUUUUAAAGCCACAACAAGCCUUGCAAGCAACAACAGUCAGCUUUACUUGAUCUACUUCUUCUCUCAGUGCAGCUGGGCUGUACACUGCAGCGUUGUGACAUCAGGAUCACAGUAAUUAUUGCCUCUGGACUCAUAGGUGACAAUGGAUAUUGCUCUACGAGAGAGUAGCAAGAGCAAUGCAAGCCUCAGGACCAACAGCUCAGAUGAAAAACGUUUCUUAAAGUAAUGUAUUAGCUGCAAGUUAAAUUAUCUAGAUUUUAUCCUCUGUAUCAGAGGAAGGGCUCAGAAAUUCAACUGCUUGCAUAUAAAAAGCAGUAAAUGUCAGAAUCUAAAUAUAUUUUAGAUUCCUCAGUUGACAUUAAACGCUAUAGAGAAAGUGAAAACGUGGAAGUACAGAAGAAUAUGGCGCUCUUGUGUGAGCAAGGAAAGCAAUACAUCAAAUAUCUCCUUUCCAAUUCUAGCUUCCAAGAGGCUGAAAGAAAAGUACUCGGUAGAAAAAAAAGCACUUGCUGUUCAGUGUGGAGAGCUGAAGACAGAGGGCAGCUUCAGGAUCCUGGUGGAAUGAGUUUAUGCAGAAAGACAAGCCAUGAGUGUUGGUCUCCCCAUGAAGACAGCAAGCGAACACAGCCCUUCUCAUCCUGUUUGUGUACCUGUAGUCUUGCUGGCAGGAACAGAAGAAUGAGCUUGAAUCCUGAGGGAAAAAAGAACACCAAUAGAAAAGCUGAGUUUUUGGGAUAAGUAGCCUAUGUCCUAGACGUGAGCAGUAAGACUUUGCUUUGUUUCUCAAUUCACAUUCAGACAUACCAUUAGCAUUCCUUGCUGUUUUCUUAAAGCAACCAAAAACAGAACUGGGGACACCUUGUUCCAAAGCUAUUCAGAUAUAAGGAAACACCCUAUCCAGCCCUGCUGGUACAUCCAGCUGUUGAGGCACAUGAGCAUUCAGUGAUUGAUUUAACACCACUGACCUUUGGUUACAGAGACACACAAACUCACUUUUACCAUAGAAACACUUCUAGUGUCAGUAUUUAUUUUACCUUAAUAUACAUUUAUACAGGCCAUAAUAAAAAGGCUAUUACACAACAGUUCAGUGAGUUAUUACCUAAUUUCAAGAAUAAUGCAUGCAAUUACAAAGGAGAGGUAGAAACACCGUAUUAAAGACCUAAAAAUACAAACAUUAUAUAAACAAACACUUUCAAAUUAACUGUUGGAAUUUCAUACAGAUAAAUAAGAUAAAAAGUACAUUACUCUGUCAAAGAAAAGGAAACACAUGGUUAUCCGAACACUGAAAGAAUAUCUUGAUGUGUAAGCCCUGUACAACUUUGUCAAAUAGCUCAGACCACUGUAUUUAAGAGGAUUAAAAUGAUUCUGUCCUGGAGAAUGGUUUAUUCAAGUAUUCGAGCAGUUGAGUAACAAAAAAAGUCCCAGAAAU
Long non-coding RNA from Coturnix japonica (Japanese quail), 3051 nucleotides. RefSeq lists it as uncharacterized. The record is from RefSeq and is a predicted model, not a curated record. NCBI's taxonomy places the organism in Eukaryota, Metazoa, Chordata, Aves, Galliformes, Phasianidae.